CGCGCCGACCGGGUGAUGCCCCGGAAGCCCGGGCGGGCCGUCGCUGCGUCACGCUGCUCGCCCGCGGGCGCCCGCCCUUGCGCGCACGUCUUGGCGCCGGGUUGCCAGCGGUGUCCGGCUAGCAGGGACCGCCGCGGGGGGUGCAACCGUCGUCCUGAGCCGUCCGCCGCGUCCCGGGUGAGCGGGCAUGCAUGGCUUCGUCCUUGGGGAGAGCGUCGCGCUCCGGCAGG
This 230-nucleotide ribosomal RNA is filed under the name Giardia duodenalis. Its description in RNAcentral is "Giardia intestinalis partial small subunit ribosomal RNA". Lineage: Eukaryota; Fornicata; Diplomonadida; Hexamitidae. The record is from RNAcentral.